GAUGAACGCUAGCGGCAGGCCUAAUACAUGCAAGUCGAGGGGCAGCGCGGUAGCAAUACUGGCGGCGACCGGCGCACGGGUGCGUAACACGUAUGCAACCUACCUUCAACUGGAGGAUAGCCCGGGGAAACUCGGAUUAAUACUCCAUAACACAGGGAUCCCGCAUGGGAAUAUUGUUAAAGCUACGGCGGUUGAAGAUGGGCAUGCGUUCGAUUAGCUAGUUGGUGUAGGUAACGGCUCACCAAGGCUACGAUCGAUAGGGGGUCUGAGAGGAUGAUCCCCCACACUGUACUGAGAUACGGACCAGACUCCUACGGGAGGCAGCAGUAGGGAAUAUUGGUCAAUGGGCGCAAGCCUGAACCAGUCAUG
Molecule: ribosomal RNA, 369 nt
Filed under: uncultured bacterium
Lineage: Bacteria
Description: bacterial SSU rRNA
Rfam family: Bacterial small subunit ribosomal RNA
Source: RNAcentral